Long non-coding RNA from Oryzias melastigma (Indian medaka), 996 nucleotides. RefSeq lists it as uncharacterized. The transcript is spliced from 2 exons. The record is from RefSeq and is a predicted model, not a curated record. NCBI's taxonomy places the organism in Eukaryota, Metazoa, Chordata, Actinopteri, Beloniformes, Adrianichthyidae.
UGACCUCUAGAGUCAGCCCAUCAUUAUUUUAUUUUGUAAUUCUCCCUCUUUUUUGUAUAAUGUGGUUUUGGCUUUUAUUUUGAAGUGAUGAAAAGACGCGCUAACCGGAAGUCGCAAGUGAAGCUAACGUGAAGGCUGCAUGUGCUUCGUUUCUGCUUAAAAGGAUUUGAAAACUAAGUUAAAGGUUCAAACAAACGAAAGUGUACCAUAUCCCAUAGCACCUGGUUGAUGAGGGAACAAGCUCUUACGGUGUGUUCACACACACAAGGAUAAUAAAAAAAAAAGGAUUGUGAACCAUCAGUUUGAGAGACCAUCUUUUCGACCGGGGACGCUACACUAUUGUUCAACCAGAACGUUCUCCUCUGCUGUGCAGAACAUCACUAACCACUACCACUCUUAUACUCAGCUCUGUGACCAAAUCACAGUGGACUGUUGGACUCUUUCUGCUGCAGUUUAGGGCAGCUGAACCCCUGAAUGCUCCCAAACUGUCUUCAGUUCAACAACAGCAAAACAGAAGUUCAGCUUUGGAAGACAAAAGAAGAAAGAGAGAAGGUAACUGAGGAGUGGAUUUUUGCAGGACCAAACAAACAGGAAGCUAGAAACCGUUGAUGUCAUAACAAACCUGAGUUAUAAGCUCACCUUAAGACCAAAGCAAAACCAGCCUUCUAGCAUCUCACUCAAAGGUUCAGAACCGGAGAUCUAAUAUUCAAACAAGAGGAAGACACAUUCCACUGCCCCUAAACCUGAAUAACUGUCAAAGAAUCACUGCUCUUUAUGGUGUGGUGCCCGACACUUAUCAGAUCCACUUGUGGUUGAAAAACCGAGCAGAGCUCUGAGAUCUGGUGGAAGUUCUGAGUUAGAAAGUGACUCAGGUGUUAAGCUGCACCAAUGAACUCAAACUGUCUCCUACUUUCUCAAGUUCAGCGAUAAAAUGUUCUUUUCUUCUGCUUUGUUUAAAAUACUGCACACAAUUCCAGUAAAGAUUCUGUUUUCAUG